RNAcentral lists this transfer RNA (68 nucleotides) under Bokermannohyla alvarengai (Santa Barbara treefrog). RNAcentral describes it as "tRNA-Phe". It matches the Rfam family "tRNA". Rfam says of the family: Transfer RNA (tRNA) molecules are approximately 80 nucleotides in length. The record is from RNAcentral. Lineage: Eukaryota; Metazoa; Chordata; Amphibia; Anura; Hylidae.
GUUUGAAUAGCUUACAUAAAGCAUAGCACUGAAAAUGCUAAGAUGGGUUUUAAAACACCCUUCAAACA